Molecule: ribosomal RNA, 469 nt
Filed under: uncultured bacterium
Lineage: Bacteria
Description: bacterial SSU rRNA
Rfam family: Bacterial small subunit ribosomal RNA
Source: RNAcentral
GCGCCAGACUCCUACGGGAGGCAGCAGUGAGGAAUAUUGGUCAAUGGCCGGAAGGCUGAACCAGCCAAGCCGCGUGAAGGACGAAGGUGCCAAGCAUUGUAAACUUCUUUUGUCAAGGGACAAAAUCAGGCUCGAGAGCCUGACCGAGGGUACUUGAAGAAAAAGCAUCGGCUAACUACGUGCCAGCAGCCGCGGUAAUACGUAGGGGGCAAGCGUUAUCCGGAUUUACUGGGUGUAAAGGGAGCGUAGACGGCUGUGCAAGUCUGAAGUGAAAGCCCGUGGCUCAACCGCGGAACUGCUUUGGAAACUGUAUAGCUUGAGUACUGGAGAGGCAGGCGGAAUUCCUAGUGUAGCGGUGAAAUGCGUAGAUAUUAGGAGGAACACCAGUGGCGAAGGCGGCCUGCUGGACAGAAACUGACGUUGAGGCUCGAAAGCGUGGGGAGCAAACAGGAUUAGAUACCCUCGUAGA